Molecule: ribosomal RNA, 491 nt
Filed under: uncultured bacterium
Lineage: Bacteria
Description: bacterial SSU rRNA
Rfam family: Bacterial small subunit ribosomal RNA
Source: RNAcentral
GAUUCUGGCUCAGGAUGAACGCUGGCGGCGUGCCUAACACAUGCAAGUCGAACGAGAGAGGAAGGUGCUUGCACCAUCCAAUCGAGUGGCGGACGGGUGAGUAACGCGUGGGUAACCUGCCUCAUACAGGGGGAUAACAACUGGAAACGGUUGAUAAUACCGCAUAAGCGCACAGCAUCGCAUGAUGCAGUGUGAAAAACUCCGGUGGUAUGAGAUGGACCCGCGUCUGAUUAGCCAGUUGGCGGGGUAACGGCCCACCAAAGCGACGAUCAGUAGCCGGCCUGAGAGGGUGAACGGCCACAUUGGGACUGAGACACGGCCCAAACUCCUACGGGAGGCAGCAGUGGGGAAUAUUGCACAAUGGGGGAAACCCUGAUGCAGCCGACGCCGCGUGAGCGAAGAAGUAUUUCGGUAUGUAAAGCUCUAUCAGCAGGGAAGAAAAUGACGGUACCUGACUAAGAAGCCCCGGCUAACUACGUGCCAGCAGCAGC